RNAcentral lists this ribosomal RNA (492 nucleotides) under uncultured bacterium. Its description in RNAcentral is "partial 16S ribosomal RNA". It matches the Rfam family "Bacterial small subunit ribosomal RNA", at positions 29 to 507 of the family's 1533-position model. The record is from RNAcentral.
AGUGAACGCUGGCGGUAGGCCUAACACAUGCAAGUCGAACGGCAGCACAGUAAGAUCUUGCUCUUACGGGUGGCGAGUGGCGGACGGGUGAGGAAUACAUCGGCAUCUACUUUUUCGUGGGGGAUAACGUAGGGAAACUUACGCUAAUACCGCAUACGACCUACGGGUGAAAGCAGGGGAUCUUCGGACCUUUCGCGAUUGAAUGAGCCGAUGUCGGAUUAGCUAGUUGGCGGGGUAAAGGCCCACCAAGGCGACGAUCCGUAGCUGGUCUGAGAGGAUGAUCAGCCACACUGGAACUGAGACACGGUCCAGACUCCUACGGGAGGCAGCAGUGGGGAAUAUUGGACAAUGGGCGCAAGCCUGAUCCAGCCAUACCGCGUGGGUGAAGAAGGCCUUCGGGUUGUAAAGCCCUUUUGUUGGGAAAGAAAAGCAGCAGGUUAAUACCCCGCUGUUCUGACGGUACCCAAAGAAUAAGCACCGGCUAACUUCGUG